CCGAGUGCGGGUCCGCGUGGCCCAACCUCCCACCCGUGCCUAUUGUACCCUGUUGCUUCGGCGGGCCCGCCAGCCUUCGGGCUGGCCGCCGGGGGGCGUCUUGCCCCCGGGCCCGUGCCCGCCGGAGACCCCAACAUGAACCCUGUUCUGAAAGCUUGGUGUCUGAGUGUGAUUGUUUGCAAUCAGUUA
Molecule: unclassified non-coding RNA, 189 nt
Filed under: uncultured Aspergillus
Lineage: Eukaryota; Fungi; Ascomycota; Eurotiomycetes; Eurotiales; Aspergillaceae
Description: sequence contains ITS1
Source: RNAcentral